This 69-nucleotide transfer RNA is filed under the name Geotrypetes seraphini (Gabon caecilian). RNAcentral describes it as "tRNA-Trp". Lineage: Eukaryota; Metazoa; Chordata; Amphibia; Gymnophiona; Dermophiidae. The record is from RNAcentral.
AGGGGUUUAAGAUAAUUAAACUCAGGGCCUUCAAAGCCCUAAAUAGAAGUAAAAACCUUCUAGCCUCUG